CUCCAGUGGGCCGGCCAAGGCCUUAACACAUGCAAGUCGAGCGGUAGCACAGGGAAGCUUGCUCCUGGGUGACGAGCGGCGGACGGGUGAGUAAUGUCUGGGAAACUGCCUGAUGGAGGGGGAUAACUACUGGAAACGGUAGCUAAUACCGCAUAACGUCUACGGACCAAAGUGGGGGACCUUCGGGCCUCAUGCCAUCAGAUGUGCCCAGAUGGGAUUAGCUAGUAGGUGGGGUAAUGGCUCACCUAGGCGACGAUCCCUAGCUGGUCUGAGAGGAUGACCAGCCACACUGGAACUGAGACACGGUCCAGACUCCUACGGGAGGCAGCAGUGGGGAAUAUUGCACAAUGGGCGCAAGCCUGAUGCAGCCAUGCCGCGUGUGUGAAGAAGGCCUUCGGGUUGUAAAGCACUUUCAGCGAGGAGGAAGGGUUCAGUGUUAAUAGCACUGUGCAUUGACGUUACUCGCAGAAGAAGCACCGGCUAACUCCGUGCCAGCAGCCGCGGUAAUACGGAGGGUGCAAGCGUUAAUCGGAAUUACUGGGCGUAAAGCGCACGCAGGCGGUUUGUUAAGUCAGAUGUGAAAUCCCCGCGCUUAACGUGGGAACUGCAUUUGAAACUGGCAAGCUAGAGUCUUGUAGAGGGGGGGUAUAAAUUCUCCGUGUAUCGGUGAAAUGCGUAUAGAUCU
Molecule: ribosomal RNA, 685 nt
Filed under: Serratia sp. PS3
Lineage: Bacteria; Pseudomonadati; Pseudomonadota; Gammaproteobacteria; Enterobacterales; Yersiniaceae
Description: bacterial SSU rRNA
Rfam family: Bacterial small subunit ribosomal RNA
Source: RNAcentral